UACGUAGGUGGCAAGCGUUGUCCGGAAUUAUUGGGCGUAAAGCGCGCGCAGGCGGCCUUUUAAGUCUGAUGUGAAAGCCCACGGCUCAACCGUGGAAGGUCAUUGGAAACUGAAAGGCUUGAGUACAGAAGAGGAAAGCGGAAUUCCACGUGUAGCGGUGAAAUGCGUAGAGAUGUGGAGGAGCACCAGUGGCGAAGGCGGCUUUCUGGUCUGUAACUGACGCUGAGGCGCGAAAGCGUGGGGAGCAAACAGG
RNAcentral lists this ribosomal RNA (253 nucleotides) under uncultured bacterium. RNAcentral describes it as "partial 16S ribosomal RNA". It matches the Rfam family "Bacterial small subunit ribosomal RNA", at positions 524 to 776 of the family's 1533-position model. The record is from RNAcentral.